AUACGUAGGGUGCAAGCGUUAAUCGGAAUUACUGGGCGUAAAGCGUGCGCAGGCGGUUUUGUAAGACAGAGGUGAAAUCCCCGGGCUCAAACUGGGAACUGCCUUUGUGACUGCAAGGCUCGAGUUCGGCAGAGGGGGAUGGAAUUUCGCGUGUAGACGGGAAAUGCGUAGAUAUGCGGAGGAACACCGAUGGCGAAGGCAAUCCCCUGGGCCUGUACUGACGCUCAUGCACGAAAGCGUGGGGAGCAAACAGGAUUAGAUACCCUGGUAGUCCACGCCCUAAACGAUGUCAACUGGUUGUUGGGUCUUCAUUGACUCAGUAACGAAGCUAACGCGUGAAGUUGACCGCCUGGGGAGUACGGCCGCAAGGUUGAAACUUAAAGGAAUUGACGGGG
RNAcentral lists this ribosomal RNA (395 nucleotides) under uncultured bacterium. RNAcentral's name for it is "partial 16S ribosomal RNA". It matches the Rfam family "Bacterial small subunit ribosomal RNA", at positions 523 to 918 of the family's 1533-position model. The record is from RNAcentral.